AUACGGAGGGGGUUAGCGUUGUUCGGAAUUACUGGGCGUAAAGCGUACGUAGGCGGACUGGAAAGUUGGGGGUGAAAUCCCGGGGCUCAACCCCGGAACUGCCUCCAAAACUUCCAAUCUAGAGAUCGAGAGAGGUGAGUGGAAUUCCAAGUGUAGAGGCGAAAUUCGUAGAUAUUUGGAGGAACACCAGUGGCGAAGGCGGCUCACUGGCUCGAUACUGACGCUGAGGUACGAAAGCGUGGGGAGCAAACAGGAUUAGAAACCCUAGUAGUCC
Molecule: ribosomal RNA, 274 nt
Filed under: uncultured bacterium
Lineage: Bacteria
Description: partial 16S ribosomal RNA
Rfam family: Bacterial small subunit ribosomal RNA
Source: RNAcentral